Liolophura sinensis is the source of this 6315-nucleotide long non-coding RNA. RefSeq lists it as uncharacterized. NCBI's taxonomy places the organism in Eukaryota, Metazoa, Mollusca, Polyplacophora, Chitonida, Chitonidae. The record is from RefSeq and is a predicted model, not a curated record. The transcript has 3 exons.
GACCAAGUCUGGAAGAAAACUUAGAUUCACCUGACGGAGGUGCUCGGUAAAGGCGUGGACAUGCACCUGGCUAAAACGUUAUCGUCUUAUUUGAGCCUGGUCGGAUAGAUUACAAGGAAAUAUGGCCGAUUCCAGAAGCAGCGAUGGAAGCAGUGGGUUACAAAUUAUAUGUAUGUAUACAUAUAUAUCUGUGUCAAGCUGACACAGAGUUUGAGGGGGCUGCUAGCUAUUGACAUGUAUCACAGGCCUUUCAUACCGGAGCCAAGCUGGCCAUAUUACCUGACUUAUGCGGGACCCUUACCAGAAUACCGUUCAACCUAUUCGUGGCAACACCGGAGUUAAGAGCACGAGGAUGUUACCACUGAUAAUCACCACUAGAUGGCUGCCAAUCCACCAGCACGCUGUGGAUGAUUUGCAGGUGCAUAGUUAGAAGUGUCAAGGAUUCGUGGAGUGUGUAAGAUGUAGCACGUGCCAGGCUGGGAGAUGUGUUAUCUGACGUAGUUAUCCUUCUGCCCUCAGGAUCAGCUCACUCUAACGGUUCGGAUCUUGACAAACUGGAAAGAUAAUUUGGGACGGCAUCUACUGAAGCCGUAACAUGGCUUUUGAGUUUCCAAUAAAAUGGAACAAGUGUUAUCCACUUUAACUGCCCACAGACUGUGAGCGGUACUGGCGUACAUAUAUAGCGAACAAGGCCGUUGAUCCACAGUAUAUGCUCAGUGACACAAGGAAUGAUAUAAGAAAACAAUUCUGCCUAAUGACCCAUGCUCAAUGCUCAGAAAUUAUGAGUGAUAUUGAGGAGCAUGACUGUUGGUCCACAUGAAACGCUCAGAGAUUGUGAUUGAUAUUGAGGAGCAUGACUGUUGGCCCACAUGAAAUGCUCAGAGAUUGUGAUUGAUAUUGAGGAGCAUGACUGUUGGUCCACAUGAAUUGCUCAGGGAUUGUGAGUGAUAUAUAGGCGCAUGACUGUUGGUCCACAUGAAAUGCUCAGAGAUUAUGUGAUAUUGAGGAGCAUGACUGUUGGUCCACAUUAAAUGUUCAGAAAUUGUGAGUGAUAUUGAGGAGCAAGACUGUUGAGCAUGAAAUGCUCAGAGAUUGUGAUUGAUAUUGAGGAGCAUGACUGUUGGUCCACAUGAAAUGCUCGGGGAUUGUGACUAAUAUUGAGGAGCAUGACUGUUGGUCCACAUGAAAUGCUCAGAGAUUGUGAUUGAUAUUGAGGAGCAUGACCGUUGGUCCACAUGAAUUGCUCAGGGAUUGUGAGUGAUAUAUAGGCGCAUGACUGUUGGUCCACAUGAAAUGCUCAGAGAUUAUGUGAUAUUGAGGAGCAUGACUGUUGGUCCACAUUAAAUGUUCAGAAAUUGUGAGCGAUAUUGAGGAGCAAGACUGUUGAGCAUGAAAUGCUCAGAGAUUGUGAUUGAUAUUGAGGAGCAUGACUGUUGGUCCACAUGAAUUGCUCAGGGAUUGUGAUUGAUAUUGAGGAGCAUGACUGUUGGUCCACAUGAAAUGCUCAGAGAUUGUGAGUGAUAUUAAAGAGAAUGACUGUUGGUCAACAUGAAAUGCCCAGAGAUUGUGAGCGAUAUUGAAGAGUAUGACUGUUGGUCCACAUGAAUUGCUCAGGGAUUGUGACUGAUAUUGAGGAGCAUGACUGUUGGUCCACAUGAAAUGCUCAGAGAUUGUGAGUGAUAUUGAGGAGCAUGACUGUUGAUCCACAUGAAAUCCUCAGAGAUUGUGUCAUGUUGAGGAACGAGUACGGCGUAAAAAACCAAUCAAGUAAUUAAAUAAAAAUAACUGAUUACUUUUUUUAAAAAAACUUACACGUAUUGGAACAGAGAUAUUGUGUAAUUGUGACUCUGACAUUGGUAUCGAAGUCAGGUAAAUCGAUUUAAUAAAAUUAAAUUUACAUUGGCCGUCAGUUAAGAGCAAUUUAGUGGAAUCGACCACAGAAGACUUCUCCCAUCUCAACCCUGUUCGUGACUUGAAGCAUCGAAUGAACAAAAAAUUGACUGCUUUGUUACCGGUGUGUUUUCAUUCGUGACACCUUCAGAUGGGAUUUCACCGAAUCCAUGCAUUCCAUUAUUAAACCUAUUGUUUUUCUACACUGAGUGCUGCCUGAAAAAUACUGCCCUCGGCAUUUCGCCGCUUUCAUUCACCUUAUAAUACAAAGCCAUAAGUACAUCUAUAAGUUGUUAACAUCAUUUUUUCGUCACGCAUCAGUGAACUGACAACAAUAGCGUUUUUAUGUCCAUUCUACCAUAUUUAACAUUCCUCUAUUAUGACAAGUAAUUGUGUCAACUGGAUGAGACCGAUAAGACGGCUGGGUAUCCGUAUACACGGCGUAGGACACACUUACAUGUACCUGACCAGCUCGUUUGACCGAUAACCUGCUCUCUCCUAAAACCAGUAGUGGGUUUCAACGACGAGACAUACAAUAUGACGUGCAGAAAUCUUACGUUACAAAAACCGUUUAUAAACCAUAUGUAUGUCUCGACAGGCAAACUGAAUCUUCUUUAGAUUUAUUUUUGACCAUCUGUUUACCAGCGAUUAGUUUUAAUGAGAAUCUCGCGGAAAUUUCCACAUUCAAUGGUUUUAUCUCUAUAAGCACAUGGCUCUGAUAAUAACUACAAAGUUACCAUAUAGCCAUAUUCAUUCAUUCAAGCCUCGGUAAGCUUCUCAAAAAGAAGCAGCCGGAAUUUUUUCACAAUAAGCGUCAAUGAUAUAAGUUUAAAAUAUACCUGCCCAUUUCUCCCCUACUCUCAGCUUCUACUCAGGAAGUUUCAAUGCGAAACAGACAGACACAAAAAUCAAUGACAAAAUGCGUACGAAAGAAAGCAUUUGAGAAACCAUAGAAGCAAUGAAUGAAAAUGAAAUAAUAUAUUUGGUUGGUUCCAUUGCCAUUGACAGUCGGGAAGCAUUUUUUCCCCAUUACUUUCGGAGUUGUCACAGAGAUCAUGGGCGGGCAAUGUACCGUUUUUUUAGACAGCAACAGUUAUCAUUAGGAUAGAUUCUUUAACUAAUGGCUCUCUUCAUUAAUGUCCUGUUUUGCUUUUUUUAGCCUUCGCCGCAAUAAUAACUGUGACGAACUCGCUAGCCAGCAGAGUGUGAAAAGCAGUUCUGUCAUGCUCACAGAGAAUGCUUUUGUAGAGCUCAUGGCAUUUCUUGUAUGUGGACCUUGUCACAAUUAGAGAUCUCCUCAGUGAAACAUGUAUGUAUAUAGAUGGCUACAGCCAUUAGAGGAACCAAGCCACGCACCUUACUGGACCAGCUUAAUAAUUUAAACUUUAACGGAUGACGUUGCAGAAUGUGAGAUCUGGCUAACGGCCAAAAUAGUUACAGCAGUUUAUUGUGGGUUACGUUACGCUUGGGGACAUAUCUACGUGUUCCUUGUACGGUCUUGAUGAGAGACACUGACCGGUUAUACAAAUACGUCCAAAAUCGCAGUAAAAACACCUCGUUUUCUGAUGUAACUCACCAGUGACUGCGUUCUGUAUACCGGUAAGUGUACGAUCGCAGAUACACCAAAAAGCUUCAAAGUAGACGAUUAAGCCUAAAUGGCUUUGGACCGAGCUUUGAACCGAUUCUUUAAAGCGGAAAGGAGUUUCAUCAGCCACAGUUACACAAUGUAGUCUGCAUAUAUCGGUUUACCAUGUGUACAGAGUGCCAUUUUAUUCAAGGUCUCUGUCGAUUCUUACACAAAUUGUGAAUUAAGUUUUCGUGAAUGACUUCGUAAAUUAAGACUCCUCGUAGCGUUUUAACAAAGGCAUUUUCAUGUCCAAAGAAAACGUUACAAGAAAAUCAAUUUUCAAAGUUUUAUGAAAGCUGACACUCAUCUCUGUCCAUGGAGCUGGGCUUGUACUAAAUUUAAUCUUUUAUAUCCUUGUAUCCGCACGUGUUCAUUCAAGAGAUUUUAAUAUAUAAAUGUCAAAUACAACCGAGCUGAAUAAGGAGCCCAGAUGUUGGAAAUGUUCAAUUAAAUGACAAUAAAGCUCAUCAGAUAGGUCAAUUUGAUGGCCUUUUGUCGCUGUCGUUGUCAAGAUGGCGAUAAAUCUGAUAAUACAUUUCCACACUUGAUCGCCUUAGGACGUGGGUGAAGGGGUUGUGUUGCAAAUCAGUAAGGACCGUUCUCGUAACAGCCGAGACAUACAAACGUGUGUCCUAUACGACAUUAAACGCUGCCGAGUUAUAAGACAAUUAAUAAGUCAUUUAAUGUGUAGCCUAACAAUUAAUUAACCAUUUAUUUCUCGUCGGUGUCAAGAUAUGAUGAAUUUGUCUACUCUCCCAAAUGAGUCUCUGUAUUAGGCUGUAAGUACACACUAUGGUUUAAACACAGUUGUUUUAACGUCCAACUUACCUCUACACCAUUGAGAACUGUCUUACUACUCGUCAUAUAUUUUCUUGUAUAUAAGAAGAUGCAUUAGUAUAAUCCAGUUUUUUUUCAUCCAGUGUCAGAUUAAAUAUAUUAAUAUUUGGUAAGACUUCCAAGCAACUUCCAAACCAAAACCAAUUAAUCAAUUUUUUCCCAAAUGCAAAGUGUAUUUACUUUCAGUUGUAAUUAUUCCUAGCUAUUUGGCUGGAUCGUGGUGUUUCGUGCCGUACUCAUGAAUAUUUCACAUAUACCACUACGGCCACCUUUAUCAAGGACGGAACCCGGUCAGAACCUGAAAGAAAGUCACCACCAUCCGCAAGUUGUCGCAAGACAGUCCCACGUAUACGACCGGAGGGGAAGCCAGCAUGAAAACCUUGUUUUAAGAGUUCCACAGACGGAGUUCUUGUACAAUAGUAGCUCAGACUUAACAAAAAGAUAUGGGCCAACAUUCACAACUUUUGUAAAUCAAUUUUUGGAUGAAUUUCGUAUUGUAAAUUUCACCAUGUGGGCAACAUCAUUUCAUCAAAAUGUUAGAUGAAAAAUUGAUAAAAAGUGUGGAGAAAAUUCCUGGCAGUUGCCGAGAGCAGGUCCCUCCUGCGCAUUGUUGACGGUCGAGUGAGUGUGUAAGUGUGCCAAUACUGCUUACAUGUAUACUCUCACGAACAUCCGCCUUAGUGAUGCAUGCAGAGGUGGAUCGGUGAUGGUGUGGGGAUGUUUGCCCUAUGACAGGGAUCGUUACAUGCAGGAGGUACUUCAUCCAGUCCUUGUUCCUCAAUUUGACAAGGAUCCAUUUGCAAACAGGCCAGUAUUCGUGGACGAUAAUUCUCGGCCUCAUCGUUCACGGGCUUUGACCCAAUUUUUGGACUACAAUGCCAUUACGCAACUUCCAUUUCCAGCAAUGAGCCCUGAUCUCAACUCUCUUGGGUCGACAAAUCUCUUGAGCACAUAUGGGUCGACAACUGCAGAGUAGGCAACCUCCUUCACAGAACCUUAGAGAUCUGGAAGCAGUUCUAAAUGAAGAGUGGCAGCUGUUGCCCACGGAACGGUUUCUGUAUGACGCUGUUCAGCAUACUUUUUACUUUUUACGCCAUUAAAAUUCCCGCUGGAGCUAUGAUUAAAAGAACAUUUUUUCAUUCAAUUUGGACACAAUUCUGGAUGGUCCAAUUUGGACACAUUUCUGGAUGGUCCAAUUUGGACAUAUCGUUCAAUUGGUCACAUGGUAACAAUUUGAGUUUACUGCAUAGAUAAAUGGGUGGUGCUUUUUAUGGCUGUGCAGUUUACUACCUUGUUCUGCAGUAAGGAAAGUGAAUUACACCUUGUUCAAAAAGGCAGGGUGGUACCUAUUUUUUUUACUGUGUAUAUUGAAUUGACGAGUUGUUUGUUAUAUAUAUAUUACAAUUGUGAUGCUCUUCUGUUAACAUAUUCCAUUGUUAAUUUUAUCACGAGAUAAUUAAAAGGGCCAUCUUUUUUAGGUAGCUCUGUGUAAUUAUAUUUGCUUAUUUAUCUUUGCUGUGGUUAAGACAGAAAUAGAUGACAGCCUCCGUAUUCCACUCACAACAAUAGGGCGCCUGUUUGAGAAGUUCUUAUAAAUGUACAUCUUACGCAAUAUCUCUGUUCUAACUUGCCGUUAGCCCUGUAUAUCCACUCAAAAUGAAGCCAACGAUGGAGAAUCAAAAGAGACAACCUCACACACAGACAUGCGAACAAACUGACCACAAAGGAAAUACUUUAAUUGAACUUCACCCUUGUUGAUAAAAACCGCCAUCAAAGAAUGAAUCGUAGCUAGCCUCAGCAUAUAUAUAUUACACAGCGUUUAGACAAAGGUGGUGUUUGGUGGUUGGUGGGGAGGGGGUGUUGGUACCGGAGAUGUUAGAAGAGAAAACCUAAUGUCUGACUGAUCGAUUGACUGUUUGCUGUUUAACGCCCACCUCAAUAAUUUUUCACUCAUGCAUACA